AGUGAACGCUGGCGGUAGGCCUAACACAUGCAAGUCGAACGGCAGCACAGUAAGAGCUUGCUCUUACGGGUGGCGAGUGGCGGACGGGUGAGGAAUACAUCGGAAUCUACUUUUUCGUGGGGGAUAACGUAGGGAAACUUACGCUAAUACCGCAUACGACCUACGGGUGAAAGCAGGGGAUCUUCGGACCUUGCGCGAUUGAAUGAGCCGAUGUCGGAUUAGCUAGUUGGCGGGGUAAAGGCCCACCAAGGCGACGAUCCGUAGCUGGUCUGAGAGGGUGAUCAGCCACACUGGAACUGAGACACGGUCCAGACUCCUACGGGAGGCAGCAGUGGGGAAUAUUGGACAAUGGGCGCAAGCCUGAUCCAGCCAUACCGCGUGGGUGAAGAAGGCCUUCGGGUUGUAAAGCCCUUUUGUUGGGAAAGAAAAGCAGCAGGUUAAUACCCCGCUGUUUUGACGGUACCCAAAGAAUAAGCACCGGCUAACUUCGUG
RNAcentral lists this ribosomal RNA (492 nucleotides) under uncultured bacterium. RNAcentral describes it as "partial 16S ribosomal RNA". It matches the Rfam family "Bacterial small subunit ribosomal RNA", at positions 29 to 507 of the family's 1533-position model. The record is from RNAcentral.